UGAAUUUGGUUUGAGGUUAUGAUUCGCUGG
This 30-nucleotide non-coding RNA is filed under the name Rattus norvegicus (Norway rat). The record is from RNAcentral. Lineage: Eukaryota; Metazoa; Chordata; Mammalia; Rodentia; Muridae.